RNAcentral lists this ribozyme (72 nucleotides) under unclassified sequences. Its description in RNAcentral is "Twister_sister_ribozyme". It matches the Rfam family "Twister_sister_ribozyme". The record is from Rfam by way of RNAcentral.
AAAAGGCACAAGGCCCAGUCCCGUGGAAGCCGGGACCGCCCCUUCGGGGGCGCGGCGCUUACAGCCACAAAC